UCAGUUGAAGCUGCCAGCAUGAUCUUAGCUUCUCUUCCUCGUUGAGAAAAGAUCAGAUCAUGUGGCAGUUUCACCCGUUG
Molecule: small RNA, 80 nt
Filed under: Manihot esculenta (cassava)
Lineage: Eukaryota; Viridiplantae; Streptophyta; Magnoliopsida; Malpighiales; Euphorbiaceae
Description: precursor microRNA miR167d
Source: RNAcentral